This 443-nucleotide ribosomal RNA is filed under the name uncultured bacterium. Its description in RNAcentral is "partial 16S ribosomal RNA". It matches the Rfam family "Bacterial small subunit ribosomal RNA", at positions 338 to 795 of the family's 1533-position model. The record is from RNAcentral.
CCUACGGGGGGCAGCAGUGGGGAAUAUUGGGCAAUGGGCGCAAGCCUGACCCAGCAACGCCGCGUGAAGGAAGAAGGCUCUCGGGUUGUAAACUUCUUUUCUCAGGGACGAAGCAAGUGACGGUACCUGAGGAAUAAGCCACGGCUAACUACGUGCCAGCAGCCGCGGUAAUCCGGAGGUGGCAAGCGUUAUCCGGAUUUACUGGGUGUAAAGGGCGUGUAGGCGGGGACGCAAGUCAGAUGUGAAAACCACGGGCUCAACCUGUGGCCUGCAUUUGAAACUGUGUGUCGUGAGGCCUGGAGAGGCAGACGGAAUUCGUAGUGUAGCGGUGAAAUGCGUAGAUAUUAGGAGGAACACCAGUGGCGAAGGCGGUCUGCUGGACAGCAACUGACGCUGAGGCGCGAAAGCGUGGGGAGCAAACAGGAUUAGAUACCCUGGUAGUC